This 253-nucleotide ribosomal RNA is filed under the name uncultured bacterium. Its description in RNAcentral is "partial 16S ribosomal RNA". It matches the Rfam family "Bacterial small subunit ribosomal RNA", at positions 524 to 776 of the family's 1533-position model. The record is from RNAcentral.
UACGAAGGGGGCUAGCGUUGUUCGGAAUUACUGGGCGUAAAGCGUGCGCAGGCGGUUUUGUAAGCCAGAUGUGAAAGCCCCGGGCUCAACCUGGGAACUGCAUUUGGGACUGCAAGGCUGGAGUACGGCAGAGGGAGGUGGAAUUCCACGUGUAGCAGUGAAAUGCGUAGAGAUGUGGAGGAACACCGAUGGCGAAGGCAGCCUCCUGGGCUAGUACUGACGCUCAUGCACGAAAGCGUGGGGAGCAAACAGG